GCAAGUCGAACGAAGCACCUUGAUUUGAUUCUUCGGAUGAAGAUCUUGGUGACUGAGUGGCGGACGGGUGAGUAACGCGUGGGUAACCUGCCUCAUACAGGGGGAUAACAGUUAGAAAUGACUGCUAAUACCGCAUGAGACCACAGUACCGCAUGGUACAGGGGUAAAAACUCCGGUGGUAUGAGAUGGACCCGCGUCUGAUUAGGUAGUUGGUGGGGUAACGGCCUACCAAGCCGACGAUAAGUAGGCGACCUGAGAGGGUGAGC
Molecule: ribosomal RNA, 266 nt
Filed under: uncultured bacterium
Lineage: Bacteria
Description: partial 16S ribosomal RNA
Rfam family: Bacterial small subunit ribosomal RNA
Source: RNAcentral